UACGUAGGUGGCAAGCGUUAUCCGGAAUUAUUGGGCGUAAAGCGCGCGUAGGCGGUUCGUUAAGUCUGAUGUGAAAGCCCCCGGCUCAACCGGGGAGGGUCAUUGGAAACUGGCGGACUUGAGUGCAGAAGAGGAGAGUGGAAUUCCAUGUGUAGCGGUGAAAUGCGCAGAGAUAUGGAGGAACACCAGUGGCGAAGGCGGCUCUCUGGUCUGCAACUGACGCUGAGGUG
Molecule: ribosomal RNA, 230 nt
Filed under: uncultured microorganism
Description: partial 16S ribosomal RNA
Rfam family: Bacterial small subunit ribosomal RNA
Source: RNAcentral